This 202-nucleotide unclassified non-coding RNA is filed under the name Hevea brasiliensis (rubber tree). Lineage: Eukaryota; Viridiplantae; Streptophyta; Magnoliopsida; Malpighiales; Euphorbiaceae. The record is from RNAcentral.
GAAAAAGUAAAACUCAAAUUGGAACAGUUAGCUCACUGAUUGAGGUUGAUUUUGCUAAGGAUACACCGAAAAAUCUGCGAACUACUUACACCUAUCCAUCUAACCUCUUAUUCAGCAACGGUACCGCGGGGAAUUCAGAUACUUGUGCUCAGAAGGAUCGCCGUGAAAGAAACUCGAAAUUCAGAAGAAAUGUACGGAUUUC